This 1477-nucleotide long non-coding RNA is filed under the name Physcomitrium patens. Its description in RNAcentral is "long non-coding RNA (PPAT_LNC002801)". Lineage: Eukaryota; Viridiplantae; Streptophyta; Bryopsida; Funariales; Funariaceae. The record is from RNAcentral.
GUCCUUUUUACAAUUGUAUACAGACAUAUCAAAAGGACUUCAUGGUUUUUUGAUAAGCUAUCAAAAGAAUUGAGAGGGCAUCCACUAAGCUUACAUCUAUUGCCACUAUUGCAAUUUUCUCACAUCGCAAGCUUAAUGUCUUCGAUUUUGGCUAUCUCAAUGCAACAUCUUGAAGCAUUACACUACAACACAUGUACUAGAAUUGACAAGAUUAACCUAUUGGAAUUAAGAGUGUAAUUCUAACAUUGAGUUGUUACUUUUAUUCUAGACAUAGAAGUGAUUUUAUAUUAUAUUGAAUUUUUAUUUUAUUUUGGUGAAGGAGGUGAACCACAAAGAAUUGUGAUUCCUCAAUAGUAUCUUUUUAGCAUUGACAUUAAUACAAAUUGAUGUUAUGGAUAUACCUAUAAUUAUCUAAAUAAUAUGAAUACGUAGAAGUAAGUUAAUUUUACAACAUCUUAUGGAAAAGCUUCCUAAAAGGUUUACAGAAGUGGUUUCACCUUUAUACAUGUGUAUAGGUGAUUGAUAGGUUAAAAACUUAGCCAAUAAGUUAGCCACAUGUCACACUUAUUGAUAGCUUGUGGUACAAGUUAAUGAUGUGGUGCACUUAUAAGAAACUUGUCUUACAAGUUAAGACAAGUGUCUUGCAAUUAGACAUGUAUUGGAGAUCCUAUAAAACGUUGCUGCAUAGCUCUUAGGUAGAUGGUAUAUAUAGAGGUAAGAGUGAAGCUUUCACUUUUAUCAACUCCUUUUUUGUUUCUAGUCUAGUUUUAAAAAUCUAUAGUUUUUUAAUUUUUGACAAUAGCCAUUCUAAUUUUUGGUUAAAUAUAUUUACUUUCUUAUUUCUACUUUAUCAUCUCUUUUAUUCAUUUUUUAUUUGUUUACAUAUCUUUUUUGAGUUCUUGUCCUUGAAAAUUGAUUAUUUGUUGAAUGUAUGAUUUUUGAUUUCUAAUACACUCUUCUAACUAAGAUAUGGUGUAGGUGGGAUUCUCUUCUAAAAAUGCUAAGUAACAGAAGGUGAUAUUUGAAGCUAAUCUUGCUUCAUUGCUAGUUUUGCAUACUCCUACAAAUACAAAGAUGGAAUUAUCUAUACAAUCAUAAAUUGCUCCAGGUGCAGUAUGAUAUUUUUUCUUCAAUGUAAAUAUUGCUACUUGGUUUGUUAUUGUUGAUGUGAUUUCUUCUAUUAUUGGUUUAGAUUUACUUUCUUUUCCACAUACCAUCUCUCACAAUUCUUCCAUUUCUAAUUUCAUCUUGAUUAUUUGCCUCUACAUUGUGUACAAAGAGCCAUCAAAUUUUGGCCAUUCAUUGGUAUUGAUGUUGUUUGAAGCCAUCUUUAUGAGGGAGGGUCUAUUCAUGCCCCAAUUUCUAUCAAAAAUGUCUUUCAUACAUCCCUUCGUCUUCUAGGCUUCAUUUUUUUUUAAUUUUCUAUAAUUUUCUAAGGUUGGAUACCCUAUUGAAAUUAGGAGUGUAAUUCUAAAAU